GGGCGAUUAGCUCAGCGGUAGAGCACUGCCUUCACACGGCAGGGGUCACUGGUUCGAUCCCAGUAUCGCCCACCA
RNAcentral lists this transfer RNA (75 nucleotides) under Gammaproteobacteria bacterium. RNAcentral describes it as "tRNA-Val". It matches the Rfam family "tRNA". From Rfam's summary of the family: Transfer RNA (tRNA) molecules are approximately 80 nucleotides in length. Their secondary structure includes four short double-helical elements and three loops (D, anti-codon, and T loops). Further hydrogen bonds mediate the characteristic L-shaped molecular structure. tRNAs have two regions of fundamental functional importance: the anti-codon, which is responsible for specific mRNA codon recognition, and the 3' end, to which the tRNAs corresponding amino acid is attached (by aminoacyl-tRNA synthetases). tRNAs cope with the degeneracy of the genetic code in two manners: having more than one tRNA (with a specific anti-codon) for a particular amino acid; and 'wobble' base-pairing, i.e. permitting non-standard base-pairing at the 3rd anti-codon position. The record is from RNAcentral. RNAcentral also lists the same sequence under 6 other names. Lineage: Bacteria; Pseudomonadati; Pseudomonadota; Gammaproteobacteria.